Molecule: long non-coding RNA, 385 nt
Organism: Erinaceus europaeus (western European hedgehog)
Lineage: Eukaryota; Metazoa; Chordata; Mammalia; Eulipotyphla; Erinaceidae
Exons: 2
Source: RefSeq, a predicted model, not a curated record
AUCCCUGAAAGUUUAUAGGAAAGAGAUGAAAACAUAAGUACUGCAGGAAAAGAGUAAGCACCAGGCUACAUUAUUCUUACCGUUCACAAUAAGAAAAUACAUUUCUAGACAUUUUUUUUUACCUCUUGACAGAAGAAGCUGAACUCUAAAACCUAGUAAAUGUUUUUCUUUAAAUGACAGAAUAAGAACAGCUAAAGCUGGGAGGCCUGGUGGUGGCGCACAUGUUACUAUGUGCAAGGGCCCAGGUUCGAUUCCCCAGCCCCCACCUGCAGGGGAAAGUUUCACAAGUGGUGAAGCAGUGCUGCAGUUGUCUCUCACCCUCUCUAUCCCUCCCUUCUCCCUCGAUUUCUGAAUGUCUCUAGCCAAUAAAGAUUUUUAAAAAUUA